AUUGAACGCUGGCGGCAGGCCUAACACAUGCAAGUCGAGCGGGGUGAUGGUGCUUGCACUUUCACUUAUCGACGGACGGGGGAGUAAUGCUUAGGAAUCUGCCUAUUAGUGGGGGACAACAUCUCGAAAGGAAUGCUAAUACCGCAUACGUCCUACGUGACAAACCAGUGGAGCACUUGUGACCUUGCCCUACUAGAUGAGCCUAAGUCGGAUUAGCUAGUUGGUGUGGUAAAUGCCUACCAAGGCGACGAUCUGUAGCGGCUUUGAGAGGAUGAUCCGCCACACUGGGACUGAGACACGGCCCAGACUCCUACGGGAGGCAGCAGUGGGGAAUAUUGGACAAUGGGGGGAACCCUGAUCCAGCCAUGCCGCGUGUGUGAAGAAGGCCUUAUGGUUGUAAAGCACUUUAAGCGAGGAGGAGGCUCUUUUGGUUAAUACCCAAGAUGAGUGGACGUUACUCGCAGAAGAAGCACCGGCUAACUCUGUGCCAGCCGCCGCCGUAA
This 503-nucleotide ribosomal RNA is filed under the name uncultured bacterium. RNAcentral describes it as "partial 16S ribosomal RNA". It matches the Rfam family "Bacterial small subunit ribosomal RNA", at positions 30 to 523 of the family's 1533-position model. The record is from RNAcentral.